Molecule: transfer RNA, 74 nt
Filed under: Prevotella sp.
Lineage: Bacteria; Pseudomonadati; Bacteroidota; Bacteroidia; Bacteroidales; Prevotellaceae
Description: tRNA-Arg
Rfam family: tRNA
About the family: Transfer RNA (tRNA) molecules are approximately 80 nucleotides in length. Their secondary structure includes four short double-helical elements and three loops (D, anti-codon, and T loops).
Source: RNAcentral
GGUCCGGUAGCUCAGCUGGAUAGAGCAACAGCCUUCUAAGCUGUGGGUCAGGGGUUCGAAUCCCCUCCGGUUCA